AGCGGCACCUAAUGGUGACAGUUGUUAAAGCGGGGGAUCGAAAGAUCUCGCGCCUGAAGAGGAGCCUGCGGCGGAUUAGCUAGUUGGUAGGGUAAUGGCCUACCAAGGCGACGAUCCGUAGCCGGCCUGAGAGGGCGGUCGGCCACGCUGACACUGACAUACGGGUCAGACUCCUACGGGAGGCAGCAGUCGGGAAUUUUGGGCAAUGGGCGAAAGCCUGACCCAGCAACGCCGCGUGAAGGAUGAAAUCCCUCGGGAUGUAAACUUCGCAAGAACGGGAAGAAUAAGCCGGUGCAAAUACCAUCGGCGAUGACGGUACCGUUUGUAAGCUCCGGCUAACUCCGUGCCAGCAGCCGCGGUAAUACGGGGGGAGCAAGCGUUGUUCGGAUUUACUGGGCGUAAAGGGCGCGUAGGCGGCCUCCGCAAGUCAAUUGUGAAAUCUCCGGGCUUAACUCGGAAAGGUCAACUGAUACUGCGGGGCUAGAGUGCGGAAGGGGCAACUGGAAUUCUCGGUGUAGCGGUGAAAUGCGUAGAUAUCGAGAGGAACACCUGCGGCGAAGGCGGGUUGCUGGGCCGACACUGACGCUGAGGCGCGAAAGCUAGGGGAGCGAACGGGAUUAGAUACCCCGGUAGUCCUAGCCUUAAACGAUGAAUGCUUGGUGUCUGGGGUUAUAUAGUCCCCGGGUGCCGUCGCUA
This 696-nucleotide ribosomal RNA is filed under the name uncultured bacterium. RNAcentral describes it as "bacterial SSU rRNA". It matches the Rfam family "Bacterial small subunit ribosomal RNA", at positions 179 to 854 of the family's 1533-position model. The record is from RNAcentral.